Molecule: transfer RNA, 63 nt
Filed under: Pyrgacris descampsi
Lineage: Eukaryota; Metazoa; Arthropoda; Insecta; Orthoptera; Pyrgacrididae
Description: tRNA-Pro
Source: RNAcentral
CAGGGGUUAGUUUAUUAAAAAUAUCGGUUUUGGAGACCGAUGAUAGGUUACCCCUAUCCCUGA